This 76-nucleotide transfer RNA is filed under the name Gammaproteobacteria bacterium RIFCSPHIGHO2_12_FULL_37_14. RNAcentral's name for it is "tRNA-Lys". It matches the Rfam family "tRNA". From Rfam's summary of the family: Transfer RNA (tRNA) molecules are approximately 80 nucleotides in length. Their secondary structure includes four short double-helical elements and three loops (D, anti-codon, and T loops). Lineage: Bacteria; Pseudomonadati; Pseudomonadota; Gammaproteobacteria. The record is from RNAcentral.
GGGCCGUUAGCUCAAUUGGUAGAGCGACAGACUCUUAAUCUGCAGGUUGUUGGUUCGAUUCCAACACGGCCCACCA